This 1375-nucleotide ribosomal RNA is filed under the name Kaistella treverensis. Its description in RNAcentral is "bacterial SSU rRNA". It matches the Rfam family "Bacterial small subunit ribosomal RNA". The record is from RNAcentral. Lineage: Bacteria; Pseudomonadati; Bacteroidota; Flavobacteriia; Flavobacteriales; Weeksellaceae.
AGCCGAGCGGUAGAAGUCCUUCGGGACUUUGAGAGCGGCGUACGGGUGCGUAACACGUGUGCAACCUACCUUUAUCAGGGGAAUAGCCUUUCGAAAGGAAGAUUAAUACCCCAUAAUAUAUUGAAUGGCAUCAUUUAAUAUUGAAAACUCCGGUGGAUAGAGAUGGGCACGCGCAAGAUUAGAUAGUUGGUGAGGUAACGGCUCACCAAGUCAAUGAUCUUUAGGGGUCCUGAGAGGGAGAUCCCCCACACUGGUACUGAGACACGGACCAGACUCCUACGGGAGGCAGCAGUGAGGAAUAUUGGACAAUGGGUGAGAGCCUGAUCCAGCCAUCCCGCGUGAAGGAUGACGGUCCUAUGGAUUGUAAACUUCUUUUGUAUAGGGAUAAACCUACUCUCGUGAGAGUAGCUGAAGGUACUAUACGAAUAAGCACCGGCUAACUCCGUGCCAGCAGCCGCGGUAAUACGGAGGGUGCAAGCGUUAUCCGGAUUUAUUGGGUUUAAAGGGUCCGUAGGCGGGCCGAUAAGUCAGUGGUGAAAUCUCAUAGCUUAACUAUGAAACUGCCGUUGAUACUGUCGGUCUUGAGUAAAUUUGAAGUGGCUGGAAUAAGUAGUGUAGCGGUGAAAUGCAUAGAUAUUACUUAGAACACCAAUUGCGAAGGCAGGUCACUAAGAUUUAACUGACGCUGAGGGACGAAAGCGUGGGGAGCGAACAGGAUUAGAUACCCUGGUAGUCCACGCCGUAAACGAUGCUAACUCGUUUUUGGGGCGCAAGCUUCAGAGACCAAGCGAAAGUGAUAAGUUAGCCACCUGGGGAGUACGUCCGCAAGGAUGAAACUCAAAGGAAUUGACGGGGGCCCGCACAAGCGGUGGAUUAUGUGGUUUAAUUCGAUGAUACGCGAGGAACCUUACCAAGACUUAAAUGGGAAAUGACAGGCUUAGAAAUAGGCUUUUCUUCGGACAUUUUCCAAGGUGCUGCAUGGUUGUCGUCAGCUCGUGCCGUGAGGUGUUAGGUUAAGUCCUGCAACGAGCGCAACCCCUGUCACUAGUUGCUAACAUUUAGUUGAGGACUCUAGUGAGACUGCCUACGCAAGUAGAGAGGAAGGUGGGGAUGACGUCAAAUCAUCACGGCCCUUACGUCUUGGGCCACACACGUAAUACAAUGGCCGGUACAGAGGGCAGCUACCUAGCGAUAGGAUGCAAAUCUCGAAAGCCGGUCUCAGUUCGGAUUGGAGUCUGCAACUCGACUCUAUGAAGCUGGAAUCGCUAGUAAUCGCGCAUCAGCCAUGGCGCGGUGAAUACGUUCCCGGGCCUUGUACACACCGCCCGUCAAGCCAUGGAAGUUUGGGGUACCUGAAGUCGGUGACCGUAAAAGG